This 430-nucleotide ribosomal RNA is filed under the name uncultured bacterium. RNAcentral's name for it is "bacterial SSU rRNA". It matches the Rfam family "Bacterial small subunit ribosomal RNA", at positions 354 to 796 of the family's 1533-position model. The record is from RNAcentral.
GUGGGGAAUAUUGCACAAUGGGCGAAAGCCUGAUGCAGCAACGCCGCGUGAGGGACGACGGCCUUCGGGUUGUAAACCUCUUUUAGUAGGGAAGAAGCGAAAGUGACGGUACCUGCAGAAAAAGCACCGGCUAACUACGUGCCAGCAGCCGCGGUAAUACGUAGGGUGCAAGCGUUAUCCGGAAUUAUUGGGCGUAAAGAGCUCGUAGGCGGUCUGUCGCGUCUGCUGUGAAAACUGGAGGCUCAACCUCCAGCCUGCAGUGGGUACGGGCAGACUAGAGUGCGGUAGGGGAGAUUGGAAUUCCUGGUGUAGCGGUGGAAUGCGCAGAUAUCAGGAGGAACACCGAUGGCGAAGGCAGAUCUCUGGGCCGUAACUGACGCUGAGGAGCGAAAGCGUGGGGAGCGAACAGGAUUAGAUACCCUAGUAGUCC